GAGUAAUUAACUCAAAUAGGUAGAGUAUUUCGUUUACACUGAAAAAGUUAAUGGUUCGAAUCCAUUAUUACUCA
Molecule: transfer RNA, 74 nt
Filed under: Gelidium gabrielsonii
Lineage: Eukaryota; Rhodophyta; Florideophyceae; Gelidiales; Gelidiaceae
Description: tRNA-Val
Rfam family: tRNA
About the family: Transfer RNA (tRNA) molecules are approximately 80 nucleotides in length. Their secondary structure includes four short double-helical elements and three loops (D, anti-codon, and T loops).
Source: RNAcentral